This is a long non-coding RNA of Chiloscyllium plagiosum (whitespotted bambooshark), 1839 nucleotides long. RefSeq lists it as uncharacterized. Lineage: Eukaryota; Metazoa; Chordata; Chondrichthyes; Orectolobiformes; Hemiscylliidae. The record is from RefSeq and is a predicted model, not a curated record.
CCCCGCCCCCUUCCCUUCCCUUCCGCCUCGCGCUGGGGACCGCUCUAACGGACAAUGUAGGUCGCACGCGCCGAGGCGCAGGACGCCUCCCGCCGUGGGUCUCGUGCGAAGGAGCGAGUGAGAUCAAUAAACCCCCCUCGAAGAGAGUCGGCCAUUCCACAACAAAACGAUAGCCGCUGCCGUUAUGGGAGUUUUGUUUUUAAAAAAAAGAAACAUCGACGACGGAUAGGGGAUUGCUCGCUGUAUAUGUCCAAUCCAUAUUGCAAUCAAUGUCAUAGGUAAGGCAUGGCAUCAGGUGCUGAAUUCACACGACUUGGAACAGAGUUUGAACCUCCUGCUGAUCCCCACUGGCUGUCCAGCCAACUGAGCCAGACAAUCCCUGAGGAAUGAGUUGUUAUGGCAACAUGCUUUUACAUGCAUGUUGUAGCCUGGACUUCUGGAUAGUAAUGGUGGAGGUUCCAAUUUAUUUUCAUCAGCUGACUGACCAGAAAUCUCUCCUGCUCUUACAUCAUGUCACUGUUGUAUAUUGAAAGGAUUUAGAAGUUGAUCAUUCAACCUGUUAGCUAUAUUACGUAACCGUCUUCCUUGACCAUAAUGUCCUAAAGUAGGAUUUAAACCCAAAGCAUCUUGGUCAGGGCAGGGAACAUGCCACUGUGUCACAAGGUCUCUUUUGCUCUGUUGUCCCUGUAUUUUUUACUUCCUCUGCAUCUGUGGCUUGUUGAAUUCUGUGACCACGUUAAAAUAGACACAUUGUUUGAAUGCAUACAAAUCUUAAGAGAAUGUAGCUUCUGCGCACCUUGUUAGUUCUGUGCAUUGUACAUAUCCGAUUGUCGAGCAACUACAUGUUUGCACAGUGGAAUAUUGCUUAUCUUUAUAAUUCUUUAAUACCCAUGCCUAACAAUGCUAUGUCAUUUUGGGUGAGGACCAUUUCAGUUGAUACACCAUCCACAAGUUCUUAAAUAAAGUUCGAUUGCCACUCCACUUGCCUGACUCUACUUUGAAAAUUGUGCUCCUCUAUUCUUACUUUUCAUCGGCUUUCAGUAUCAAAUUGCUUUACCAUUUUAAAUGUCUUGAUUAAAUCACCCUUGAAGCUCCUAAACUCAAGGAAAGCAAGCCAAAAACAUGGCCCAUUUUCAUGAUUUACUCUUAACAGAAGGAUACAAAGGUUUCAAAAUCUGCGCUCUACUUCUGCUAUGUCAAUGUAUUGUUACUUAUUUCACUUGGUAACAUGGACAAGCAUACCUUAAUCUGUCAUCUUCCAAAUUCCUUUUCUGCUAUUUUGAGUUACCUUUUAACCUAGUAUUUUCUGUACUGCAUACCUAUUCUACUCUUCUACCCUUUGGACAGCCUCCAGCUUAUAGUGCCUUGGUUAGCAUUAUGCCUGUCCUACGAUUGCCUUUCUCUGUAUCCGUCACUGGCAUGAUGUAUAUUGCUGUUGGACGGGAUCAGUAUCUGCUGUAGCUCCUAUUUUUGUUCAGUUUUAUCUCACCUGCCAACAGGCUGCCAGCCUGUCCCCUUGCUGUGCUUGUUCUUUCCUUUUGAAGUCUUAUUGUGUGUGCAAAGACGAUAGAACAAUUCUUUGAACAACCUUUUAUACAUGUGUUGAAGUGUCUCUAUCUUGCUUGAGUUGGUUAUGUAUUCCUUCUGAGUUCACAAAAAGAAUACUAUUUUUGGCAGGUCUAUAAUAAUAAUCUUGUUAUAUUUUGUUGGAAUCGUUUUAUAGCUAAUUGUAUUUGUAAUUACAGAGAUACCCCACCCUGGAAUGUAGUUUGUACUUUUUGUAUCUAGACACCCUGAGUAAUGGAAUGAGUAAAUAAAUUAAACAUCAUAAUUGAUAUA